This 738-nucleotide ribosomal RNA is filed under the name Hebeloma leucosarx. RNAcentral's name for it is "eukaryotic LSU rRNA". The stretch from base 230 to 383 matches the Rfam family "5.8S ribosomal RNA". The record is from RNAcentral. Lineage: Eukaryota; Fungi; Basidiomycota; Agaricomycetes; Agaricales; Hymenogastraceae.
GUUGGUGUGGUUGUCGCUGGCCUUCUUGGAGGCAUGUGCACACCUACCAUCCUCAUCUCUCCACCUGUGCACCUCUUGUAGAUUUGGAAUUGAUUAUCCGAGGCAACUCGGUCGUGAGGAAUGCUAGCACUUAGCUGGCUUUCUUUGCAAUUCCAGGUCUAUGUUUUUCAUAUACCCCAUUGUAUGUAACAGAAUGUAUCAUUGGGCCUUGUGCCUAUAAACCUUAUACAACUUUCAGCAACGGAUCUCUUGGCUCUCGCAUCGAUGAAGAACGCAGCGAAAUGCGAUAAGUAAUGUGAAUUGCAGAAUUCAGUGAAUCAUCGAAUCUUUGAACGCACCUUGCGCUCCUUGGUAUUCCGAGGAGCAUGCCUGUUUGAGUGUCAUUAAAUUCUCAACCAUUAUCAACUUUUGCUGAUAAUGGCUUGGAUGUGGGGGUCUAUUUUGCUGGCUUCUCAGAUAGUCAGCUCCCCUUAAAUGCAUUAGCCGGUGCCCCGCGUGGACUGUCUAUUGGUGUGAUAAUUAUCUACGCUAUGGACAUCUGCAAUCAUAUGGGUGUGCACUGCUUCCAGCAGUCUGUUAAAGACAAUACAUGACAAUUUGACCUCAAAUCAGGUAGGAUUACCCGCUGAACUUAAGCAUAUCAAUAAGCGGAGGAAAAGAAACUAACAAGGAUUCCCCUAGUAACUGCGAGUGAAGCGGGAAAAGCUCAAAUUUAAAAUCUGGCGGUCUCUGGCCGUC